RNAcentral lists this unclassified non-coding RNA (240 nucleotides) under soil metagenome. RNAcentral describes it as "partial contains 5.8S ribosomal RNA, internal transcribed spacer 2, and large subunit ribosomal RNA". The record is from RNAcentral.
AACGCACGAGACCUGCGGACCUGCGGAGGGAUCAUUACCGAGUUAUACAACUCCCAAACCCACUGUGAACCUUACCUCAGUUGCCUCGGCGGGAACGCCCCGGCCGCCUGCCCCCGCGCCGGCGCCGGACCCAGGCGCCCGCCGCAGGGACCCCAAACUCUCUUGCAUUACGCCCAGCGGGCGGAAUUUCUUCUCUGAGUUGCACAAGCAAAAACAAAUGAAUCAAAACUUUCAACAAUG